RNAcentral lists this ribosomal RNA (431 nucleotides) under uncultured rumen bacterium. RNAcentral describes it as "bacterial SSU rRNA". It matches the Rfam family "Bacterial small subunit ribosomal RNA", at positions 354 to 776 of the family's 1533-position model. The record is from RNAcentral.
GCUAAGAAUAUUCCGCAAUGGACGAAAGUCUGACGGAGCGACGCCGCGUGGAUGAUGAAGGCCGGAAGGUUGUAAAAUCCUUUUAUGACUGAGGAAUAAGCAGUGUGAGAGAAACGCAUUGUGGUGACUGUAGGUCAUGAAUAAGCAACGGCUAAUUACGUGCCAGCAGCCGCGGUAACACGUAAGUUGCGAGCGUUGUUCGGAAUUAUUGGGCGUAAAGGGCAUGUAGGCGGUUCUGCAAGUCUGGUGUGAAAUGCCGGGGCUCAACCCCGGAACUGCGUUGGAAACUGCAGAACUUGAGUCGCUGAGGGGCAGCCAGAAUUCCAGGUGUAGGGGUGAAAUCUGUAGAUAUCUGGAAGAAUACCAAUGGCGAAGGCAGGCUGCCAGCAGAUGACUGACGCUGAGGUGCGAAGGUGCGGGGAGCAAACAGG